GGAGGAAUACCCAAGUCCGGCUGAAGGGAUCGGUCUUGAAAACUGACAGGGGCUUAACGGCUCGCGGGGGUUCGAAUCCCUCUUCCUCCGCCA
Molecule: transfer RNA, 93 nt
Filed under: Staphylococcus aureus
Lineage: Bacteria; Bacillati; Bacillota; Bacilli; Caryophanales; Staphylococcaceae
Also listed under: 1 other name
Description: tRNA-Ser
Rfam family: tRNA
About the family: Transfer RNA (tRNA) molecules are approximately 80 nucleotides in length. Their secondary structure includes four short double-helical elements and three loops (D, anti-codon, and T loops).
Source: RNAcentral